Molecule: ribosomal RNA, 484 nt
Filed under: uncultured bacterium
Lineage: Bacteria
Description: bacterial SSU rRNA
Rfam family: Bacterial small subunit ribosomal RNA
Source: RNAcentral
GAUGAACGCUAGCGGCAGGCUUAACACAUGCAAGUCGAGGGGCAGCGAGGGUAGCAAUACCUGUCGGCGACCGGCGCAAGGGUGCGUAACGCGUGAGCAACAUGCCCGUAUCAGGGGGAUAAUCCAGGGAAACUUGGUCUAAUACCGCAUAAUAAUCAUUUGGGGCAUCUUGGAUGAUUUAAAAUUUCGAUGGAUACGGAUUGGCUCGCGUGACAUUAGCUGGAUGGUAGGGUAACGGCCUACCAUGGCUACGAUGUCUAGGGGUUCUGAGAGGAAGGUCCCCCACACUGGAACUGAGACACGGUCCAGACUCCUACGGGAGGCAGCAGUGAGGAAUAUUGGACAAUGGAUGGAAAUCUGAUCCAGCCAUGCCGCGUGCAGGAAGACGGCCCUAUGGGUUGUAAACUGCUUUUGUAUGGGAGCAAUAAGGGCUACGAGUAGCCUGAUGAGAGUACCAUACGAAUAAGGACCGGCUAACUCCGUG